Salmo salar (Atlantic salmon) is the source of this 2228-nucleotide long non-coding RNA. RefSeq lists it as uncharacterized. The record is from RefSeq and is a predicted model, not a curated record. Lineage: Eukaryota; Metazoa; Chordata; Actinopteri; Salmoniformes; Salmonidae.
GACAUCAUCAUCCCCGUGUAUACAAAGGUGAAACAAGCAGCGGUCUAACCCCCCUUGAGGUUCUUGAGAGAGCAGCCAAGGAAGUCAGAGAAGGGAAGAAGUCCAUUCAAGCAGCAGCAAAGGAUGAAAACAUUUACUGAAUGACAUUGAAGAGGAACCUUCAAAAAAAGAAAACAAACAUGAACCUGUGUGAAGGAUAGGCUGUGACAGAGUAAAAGAGGCACAAUAAGGUCUUAUCUGAUGACAUGGAGUCUGAGCUUGUUAACAUAUCAAGAAUCUUGUGGACCAGUUUUAUGGGCUUAGUAGCCUCAAAUGCAGAGAACUUGCCUACGAAUUGGCACAUCAAAACAACAUCCCUGUCUCAGACAACUGGUCAAGAAAUGGAAGAUCCCAGGACACCAUUACCCACUUACCCCAAGGUGCUUCAACUCAAAGCUCACAGAGAAGGUGUGUGGUGCAUCAAAAGGCCAAGAGACCCUCAGGCACCAAAGGCCCAAAGAACAUCACUAUGAACAGGUUUACAUUAUUUUUGUGUUAUAUUUGUCAAAAUGAUCCACUGACUUUCAUUCAACUUUCUCAGCGCUCCCCGUCCUCCUCAUCAUAAUCAUAAUCAACAUCAGCAUUAUCAUUACCAAAUCAAAUUUGAUUUGUCACAUGCGCCGAAUGCAACGAUAGACCUUACUGUGAAAUACUUACUGACAGGCCCUUAACCAACAAUGCAGUUCAAGAAAUAGAGUUAAGAAAAUAUUUACAAAAUAAACUAAAGUAAAAUUUUUUUAAUUAAAAGUAACAAUAAAAUUACAUAACAAUAACGAGGCUAUAUACAGGGGGUACCGGUACCGAGUCAAUGUGCGGGGGUACAGGUUAGUCGAGGUAAUUUGUACAUGUAGGUAGGGGUAUGUAGGUAGGGUAGGGGUCAAUGUAAAUAGUCCGGGUGGCCAUUUGAUUAAUUGUUCAGCAGUCUUAUAUCUUGGGGGUAGAAGCUGUUAAGGAGCCUUUUGGACCUAGACUUGGUGUUCUGCAUGCUCAUUAACACCCGUAUAUUGGUAUCUUCUCUGAAAACUGCGAAUUCAUAGACUGUACAGUAGGUGCAAAUUAACCACUGUACGUAUUUGUUGAUUCUAUUGAGGCCAUCAUUUCAAGCCCUGUACUUGGCCAGCUCAUGUAAAAUAUGAGGUCAGUUUAUUUUUUUAAAUCAGCCUCCGUUUCAAUCCCGCUCGAGCUCACCCCACCACAUUCUGCAUCGGCAACAGAAGAAAAAAAACGUGCUCCAUCCUUUCUGUUUCACCCUGAGCAAGUCCUCAUUCAUACUUAAACCCAAAUUAUUUGUUGAAGGCGAUUAGAGUUUUAAUAACCGUAAGAGGAGAAUGCCUGUGAAUUGCCUAGUCAAAAUAUUUAUACUGCGCUCAGAAUAAAAUGGGCUGGUUUUUGCCAGAGUUCAGUGGAGACAGUAUAGCUUUAUUUUAGUCCACAGCCUGCCAACCCUGUUGCUACAACCCCUCCACAUCCUAGUCCAAAGCAGAGGCCGUAUAGAACAAUCAUUUAGCUGACGUCCAUUUGGACUGACUAUGUGGUUGACUCAUACACAACUAAAAGGACAGGAGUGUGUGUGGAUGGGUGAUGCUGAUGUGUAGAGGUGGGAGGCAGAGGGUGGUAGCUGUUCAGUCCCCUCCUUGUGUGUCACCUUGCUGGCACAACCGGGCCUGGUGAAAAAUCCCUCAAGAGUCCUCAAGUUUAUCAUCUUAUCAUUGUAAAACAAUCAGUACAGGAACAAGCACCUCAUUCCCUGGGUUUUCACAGACAAGGAAAAUAAUGACGAAGCUACAGUAACCCUGUGUGGAACAGAUUACAUAAGUGAAGACUGUGUUUCAUAAGUAGGUGCCAGCGAGAUGUGAUAGGAUCUUAAUGUGGUGUUAAAUGUAUGUGAAUGUUUACACUUACUUUUGACAUUUCGUGACAAGACUUUUAAAUAACCAUUCAUCGGAGUUCAAAUGGCAAUAUGGGAAUUACUUUAUGAGUCCCUUAGAUUAGUUGAUGGAAGGCUAAUGUGCAAUGAACAAAUACAAAAUGGCUUCACUGUAAAUUUUGUUCACGGUUAAAAAAUGUAUUGCACAAUAUCAAAUAAAUGUUGCCCUGGGAAAAUGUCUUUGUCAAAUAAUGGUAAUGCACUCCACACAAGGAAAAUACUACAUGAUAAAAAGAGUUGGACCACACUGUAAAUAUGAAAC